Molecule: transfer RNA, 76 nt
Filed under: Lignipirellula cremea
Lineage: Bacteria; Pseudomonadati; Planctomycetota; Planctomycetia; Pirellulales; Pirellulaceae
Description: Planctomycetes bacterium Pla85_3_4 tRNA-Leu
Rfam family: tRNA
About the family: Transfer RNA (tRNA) molecules are approximately 80 nucleotides in length.
Source: RNAcentral
UGCCCAGGUGCGCCAACCGGAAGAGCGACUCGGUUUAAACCCGAGAGGAUGCAGGUUCGAUCCCUGCUCUGGGUAU